Molecule: ribosomal RNA, 418 nt
Filed under: Microbacterium oxydans
Lineage: Bacteria; Bacillati; Actinomycetota; Actinomycetes; Micrococcales; Microbacteriaceae
Description: bacterial SSU rRNA
Rfam family: Bacterial small subunit ribosomal RNA
Source: RNAcentral
GUCGAACGGUGAACACGGAGCUUGCUCUGUGGGAUCAGUGGCGAACGGGUGAGUAACACGUGAGCAACCUGCCCCUGACUCUGGGAUAAGCGCUGGAAACGGCGUCUAAUACUGGAUAUGUGACGUGACCGCAUGGUCUGCGUCUGGAAAGAAUUUCGGUUGGGGAUGGGCUCGCGGCCUAUCAGCUUGUUGGUGAGGUAAUGGCUCACCAAGGCGUCGACGGGUAGCCGGCCUGAGAGGGUGACCGGCCACACUGGGACUGAGACACGGCCCAGACUCCUACGGGAGGCAGCAGUGGGGAAUAUUGCACAAUGGGCGCAAGCCUGAUGCAGCAACGCCGCGUGAGGGACGACGGCCUUCGGGUUGUAAACCUCUUUUAGCAGGGAAGAAGCGAAAGUGACGGUACCUGCAGAAAAAG